AAAUUGAAGAGUUUGAUCAUGGCUCAGAUUGAACGCUGGCGGCAGGCCUAACACAUGCAAGUCGAACGGUAACAGGAAGCAGCUUGCUGCUUUGCUGACGAGUGGCGGACGGGUGAGUAAUGUCUGGGAAACUGCCUGAUGGAGGGGGAUAACUACUGGAAACGGUGGCUAAUACCGCAUAACGUCGCAAGACCAAAGAGGGGGACCUUCGGGCCUCUUGCCAUCAGAUGUGCCCAGAUGGGAUUAGCUUGUUGGUGAGGUAACGGCUCACCAAGGCGACGAUCCCUAGCUGGUCUGAGAGGAUGACCAGCCACACUGGAACUGAGACACGGUCCAGACUCCUACGGGAGGCAGCAGGUGGGGAAUAUUGCACAAUGGGCGCAAGCCUGAUGCAGCCAUGCCGCGUGUAUGAAGAGCCUUCGGGUUGUAAAGUUACUUUCGAGCGGGGAGGAAGGUGUUGUGGUUAAUAACCACAGCAAUUGACGUUACCCGCAGA
This 496-nucleotide ribosomal RNA is filed under the name Salmonella enterica subsp. enterica serovar Agona str. 400095 14. Its description in RNAcentral is "bacterial SSU rRNA". It matches the Rfam family "Bacterial small subunit ribosomal RNA", at positions 1 to 485 of the family's 1533-position model. Lineage: Bacteria; Pseudomonadati; Pseudomonadota; Gammaproteobacteria; Enterobacterales; Enterobacteriaceae. The record is from RNAcentral.